UGGGGAAUAUUGCGCAAUGGGCGAAAGCCUGACGCAGCAACGCCGCGUGAGUGAUGAAGGCCUUCGGGUCGUAAAGCUCUGUCGGAGGGAACGAAUGCUCCUGAAGUUAACAGCCUCAGGAGGUGACGGUACCCUCAAAGGAAGCACCGGCUAACUACGUGCCAGCAGCCGCGGUAAUACGUAGGGUGCGAGCGUUAAUCGGAAUUACUGGGCGUAAAGGGUGCGCAGGCGGCCCCGCAUGUCAGGCGUGAAAUCCCCGAGCUCAACUUGGGAAUGGCGCUUGAAACUACGGGGCUGGAGUGUGGCAGAGGGAGGUGGAAUUCCACGUGUAGCGGUGAAAUGCGUAGAGAUGUGGAGGAACACCGAUGGCGAAGGCAGCCUCCUGGGCCAACACUGACGCUCAUGCACGAAAGCGUGGGGAGCAAACAGGAUUAGAUACCCGCGUAGUCCCUGAGCGGGCUGGCAAGGCGCAU
This 473-nucleotide ribosomal RNA is filed under the name uncultured bacterium. RNAcentral describes it as "bacterial SSU rRNA". It matches the Rfam family "Bacterial small subunit ribosomal RNA", at positions 355 to 825 of the family's 1533-position model. The record is from RNAcentral.